UUAUUAUUUUUUUAUAAAACCAAAAUCCCUUUCUUCUUCUUCUUCACGUCGCCCGAAAACCCCAACCCCUUGCUGCCGAACCUCCCAAACUGUCGUGUCUUCCGUCGAGCCUAAUACCCACGAGCAGUCGCCGCGUCGACCCCACCCUCGCUUGCAACCAAUCACCCCAGCCGUCGAUCUGCACUCCAGACGCGUCGGUCGUCGUUCGUGGAAUUCGGCCGAUUAGAUCUCGCUAGUCAAACCUCACCGCUCACCGUCGUGUCACCCCCUUCAGUCGAUCGUUCCGUCCACGAGCAAUGAGAUGCCUUCCAGCCGCCGUCGCGAGCCACUCGUGCACUGAAGCCGAACGCCACCUAGAUCGGAUGUCGAGCGACCACCGUGAGCCUUCGUCCAGUCGAGCCGCUUGUCCAGAUCCCCUCCAGUCGUGCGUCUGCCGCUCCAACCACACGUCCCUACCCCAGCCACACCACUGCCAGUCGCUGUCGUCCCUAUCGCGUCGGGUCCGCUUUAUUCUUUGUCGGAAUCUUAGAUUAAGGGGCAAAAUUUUAGGUUGUUGAAGUUGUCGUCCAGCCGAUUAAAGGGGUAGUCGACGAAUCUUAGUGAAGGGUUUGGAUCUUGAGGUUUCCUGGUGUCUUUGUUUUGGAUGAUUUAAGUUUGAUUUUGUGGGUUUUCGGUUUCGUUGGGCAAGGAAGAGGUUGAGCUUGCUAGUUUCUAGAGUUUGCAAUUAAAGGUAAGUAAACUUACUAUUGGAACUGCCCACAGGCCAGACACUAGAUAUAUGCUAGCAUGAUAGAUGAAUAUUAUGAUAGAACGAUAGCAUGAUAAACGGAUAGUAUAGUAUGACCGAUAUAUGUUCUUGUAUAAGGAUCUGAAACAUUUAUUUGUGCACGUAGAUACUUGCAUGCUAGCAUGAGAUGAUACUUGAUUCCAUAAGGUUGUAUUUGAUAUGAGGAUAUUGAGGCAUAUAUGUAUGUUGUAGAGCCAUGAUGUUGAGGUGUAUAUGUAUGUUAUAGAACCAUGUAGUGAUACUUGUGGAGACUGUGAUAGUGUCUUUACUGAUUAGUUAGAUGCCCAUUAUAUGUUGUGUUUCCUUCGGGAUUCACCAGAGAUUGUGUUUCCUUCGGGAUUCACCAGGGAUUGUGUUUCCUUCGAGAUUCACCAGGGGUUGUGCUUCC
Benincasa hispida (wax gourd) is the source of this 1175-nucleotide non-coding RNA. Lineage: Eukaryota; Viridiplantae; Streptophyta; Magnoliopsida; Cucurbitales; Cucurbitaceae. The record is from RefSeq and is a predicted model, not a curated record.